AUGCAUUUGCAUUGCAUCAUCAUGCAUUUUACUAUCAAAGUACUCAUACCUAAUCUUUCGUUCAUUCAAUUAAUAAGGCAAGCUGAUUUCCCGACAUCUGAAGAAAGAUGGAUAACUUCGUACAAGAACAUGCGAAGAAAUGUCAAUGAGCUCCAAAGAUUCAUGCCCAAGCUCAUGAAGAUGCUUCACCAAUCCCAUGCCCUGAUCAGUGCCAAGCCAAUAAAUCAGAUGGGAUAG
Non-coding RNA from Vicia faba (fava bean), 237 nucleotides. The record is from the annotation of a GenBank genome assembly. NCBI's taxonomy places the organism in Eukaryota, Viridiplantae, Streptophyta, Magnoliopsida, Fabales, Fabaceae.